GUCCCGCCGCCCCCGCCCGCCUACGGGAGGCAGCAGUGGGGAAUUUUGGACAAUGGGCGAAAGCCUGAUCCAGCAAUGCCGCGUGCAGGAUGAAGGCCUUCGGGUUGUAAACUGCUUUUGUACGGAACGAAAAAGCUCCUUCUAAUACAGGGGGCCCAUGACGGUACCGUAAGAAUAAGCACCGGCUAACUACGUGCCAGCAGCCGCGGUAAUACGUAGGGUGCGAGCGUUAAUCGGAAUUACUGGGCGUAAAGCGUGCGCAGGCGGUUAUGUAAGACAGAUGUGAAAUCCCCGGGCUCAACCUGGGAACUGCAUUUGUGACUGCAUGGCUAGAGUACGGUAGAGGGGGAUGGAAUUCCGCGUGUAGCAGUGAAAUGCGUAGAUAUGCGGAGGAACACCGAUGGCGAAGGCAAUCCCCUGGACCUGUACUGACGCUCAUGCACGAAAGCGUGGGGAGCAAACAGGAUUAGAUACCCUGGUAGUCCACGCCCUAAACGAUGU
This 501-nucleotide ribosomal RNA is filed under the name uncultured bacterium. RNAcentral describes it as "bacterial SSU rRNA". It matches the Rfam family "Bacterial small subunit ribosomal RNA", at positions 318 to 812 of the family's 1533-position model. The record is from RNAcentral.